CACGGGGACCCCUCCCCGUGCUGGCACCCCCGGCCCGGCUGGGGCCACCUGGGCACAGCUCCGCUCCCCGUGGUCCCCUCCGCGGCCAGAACGGAGGAGAGCAGAACGGAUCAGACUGGAUCAGAUCGGGUCAGACUGGACCAGAUCAGCCCUUGUGGGGCUGCGGAGAGAGGCCAAGGCUGUGCCAGGGCCGGGACUGUGGGCGCUGCCCCUGGGGACAUUCGAGGUCCCCUCCCACAGUUUAGACCUGGCCCAAUCCACCCAGUCUGGCCCAGUUUGGGGAGCUGGAGGGGAGGGCAGCCCAGCUGGAGCUUCUCACACCUCUCUGGCCUGUCUGCAGCGUAGCGCUCAGCAAACAGGGGCAGCACGGGCAGGUCUUGUGGGAAUUCUGAGGCCAGGCUCCAACACUGAGCUCCAGAGCUCAGCAGAAACACUCUCACAUCUGCUUCCCCCCGGCCCAGCCCAGCACGGCCCCUCAGGCAACCCAGGGGGUUCUGCAGCCUCCGUGGGGAUCCAGGACUGCCUGGGACCCUCCAGCACUGGCAGAGACUCUCCUGUCCCUGGCUGGAAGUGCUGCCGGGGAUGGCAAAACCCUGCCUGGGAUUUGGGGGGUGCCUGGGCUCUGCCGAGCCUUUGCCGUGCUGAAAGGCACCCUGACAGGGGUCCUUUUUUCUUGCCCCUUAUUCCAUUGCUGAAUAAAGUUCCAAACUCUUGGAGGAGUCCAACAAAGUCCAGCACAAAGACACGGUGGGGGAGCAGCGGGGCCGGGAGGCAGAGGGGACGUGUGAUGGGGUGUAAAGAGAUCUGGGACCUGCUCCCACUUCCCUGGAGAGGGUCAGCACCCCAACCCCUCUCCCCAUGGCCCCACAGCACCUCAACCCCUUACCCUACAGCCCCAGGGCCCCCCAGCCCCUCACCCUACAGCCCCAGGGCAGCCCACCCCUGCCACCCCCUGCCCAUUUCCCUUGACAUUGGGUCUUCACUGAAAUCCAAGGAAACUUCAG
RNAcentral lists this long non-coding RNA (1004 nucleotides) under Serinus canaria (Common canary). RNAcentral describes it as "lncRNA (ENSSCAG00000003727.1)". The record is from RNAcentral. Lineage: Eukaryota; Metazoa; Chordata; Aves; Passeriformes; Fringillidae.